Oncorhynchus tshawytscha (Chinook salmon) is the source of this 586-nucleotide long non-coding RNA. RefSeq lists it as uncharacterized. The transcript is spliced from 4 exons. The record is from RefSeq and is a predicted model, not a curated record. NCBI's taxonomy places the organism in Eukaryota, Metazoa, Chordata, Actinopteri, Salmoniformes, Salmonidae.
CUCUCUCUCAUUCCUGUCUCUCCGAAGUCAAGCCGUGAGUUUUUGUCAGAAAGGAACAAGUGAUCUAGCUCACUCCUUUCCUCUUUCUCUCUCUCUACCUCCCCUUCCAUCUCUCUCGCUCUCUCCCUCUCUCUCCCUCCCUCUGCUCAACAUUCCUCUUUCUCCUGUUCGAUCACUCCUCUCUCUCUCUCUCUCUCUCUCUCUCUCUCUGGUUCACACCCUCCUCUCCUCUCCCGAUCAGUCUCUAUGUGAAGGGAGUUCCGUAUGGUUACAGACUCGGCUGGUGGAAGAAGUCAAAGCAAGGUAGUAAAAUGGAUUGGUGUCAGUCCGAGCGAUGGAAAGGGCAGAAAGUGGAAGAGAACAGAUCCCAAAGAGAACUUCAAAGAGGUGACGUCGGAGAAGCUGGUGUUGUUAUUGGAGCUUCUGCUGACGGAUGGAGCUCAGUGUGACGUCAUUGCAUACUAUCCAGAGAACCUAUGAUGUACAGAACAAGGACGCUGAGGUGAGGCAUUGCUGGUGUGAGCUGCUGGUCAAACACAAAUACUCUCAGGCUUAUGGAGAUGUGGAGCACUUCCUCAUUCACCAC